GUCGCGAGCGGUACUUCAAUCCGGAUGGUGCAAACGUCAGUUAAGUGAGAGAGAAACAAACAGUGAAAAGAGCGCUUCGAAAAUCGUGAAUAUUUUGUGAACAGUGCCAAACAUUACUGAGAAAAAAAAUAAACCACGAAAAAUAUCAAAUCAGUGAAAAGAAGAUUAAAACUUCAGCCAGAAAUCUGCACACAUUUUUGUGAGGUGUCUGGAAGCAACAGCCGAACGGAAGCAGAAACAGAAACAGAAACACGAAGCCCGAAGCUGGUUCGUGAACGAGUGAACGUCGUCGUCCUGCUCCGUGUGGGUGUUUAUUUAACACAGUUCCUCGUGCGCCGCCCGUUCAGUUCGUGCCCGAAGUCCGUGCCGUACGCGCUCCGACCUACGACCCAACGCGGAAUUCGUGAACUUCAGAGAGACAGUGACAAAGAGACGUAAACGUGAACGUAAACGCAGAUAGUCAGGUGUCGCGUGUGCAAUGUGAAGAGUCGCUCAAGAUCGGUGGACCCGUAACCAAAUGUCGCUCAACGUUAACCGUGCUCAAGCUCCUCCUCCGCACACACACAUCUCUCGCAUAGUGGACCAAAAGUGCACCACUAACAAGCAGUAAAAGCCGCAACAAUCGCGAGUGUCCUGCCCGACGCCGAAAUAUACGUAUAACUGUAUAGUGCAUCAGGAAGGCAAGGAAGACAAUAUGUGCUCCAUGGGGAACCAGCGGCCCCAAGGCGCAGCCACUGGCCGAAAUCGCCGCCGCUUACACAGCAGCAGCAGCAGCAGCAGCUCUUACACUUACAGCCCCCUCAAUCGCCUUAGCCGCCUCAGUGCUCUGCUGCUCGUUCUGGGUGCGCAAAUAAUUUAUGUGGAAUAUGCUCGGGCGGAUUAUGAGAACACUUGGAAUUUAUAUUACGAGCCGCCCUGCUGCUCGGGAACAGCUGCGGGCCAUCAUCUGCGCCACCACAAAGAUCACGUCAAGGACUUUAGCUGUGGCCCAUUGCAUUACAGAACCUUCUAUAUGGAUGAGCGCAACAAUGCCCUCUAUGUGGGCGCCAUGGAUCGCAUUUUUCGGCUGAAUCUGCGUAACAUAAGCCAAUCGAUUUGCGAGCGCGAUGUUCUCAUACUGGAACCCACCGGCUCCGACAUUCUCAACUGUGUGUCCAAGGGCAAGCGGGAGAAGGUGGAAUGCCGCAAUCACAUACGCGUCAUACAGCCAAUGAAGUUCAAUGGACAUCGACUCUAUGUGUGCGGCACGAAUGCCCACAAUCCCAAGGAUUAUGUUAUAAAUGCAAACUUAACACAUUUACCCAGAUCCCAGUACGUGCCCGGCGUUGGCCUGGGCAUUGGCAAGUGUCCCUACGAUCCCGCUGACAACUCAACCGCCGUCUAUGUGGAAAACGGAAAUCCCUUUGGUUUGCCCGCGCUGUAUGCCGGCACCAAUGCAGAGUUCACCAAGGCCGAUUCGGUUAUUUUCCGCUCGGAUCUCUACAAUCUGACCAACGGCCGCAAGGAGGCAAACUUUAAGCGUACAGUGAAAUAUGACUCCAAGCUAUUGGACAAACCAAACUUUGUGGGCUCAUUCGAGAUUGGGGAAUUUGUUUACUUCUUCUUCCGGGAACAUGCCGUGGAGUACAUCAACUGCGGCAAGGAGGUCUACUCGCGUGUGGCACGCGUCUGCAAGAACGAUCGCGGUGGCAAAUACAUGAUGAGCCAGAACUGGGCCACGUACCUGAAGGCACGCAUGAACUGCAGCAUUUCCAGCGAGUUUCCCUUCUACUUCAACGAGAUUCAAUCGGUCUACAAGAUGCCCAGCGACGACAGCAAGUUCUAUGCCACAUUUACAACGAAUACGAACGGUCUGAUUGGUUCCGCUGUCUGCAGCUAUGACAUCAGGGACAUCAAUGCGGCAUUUGAAGGAAAAUACAAGGAGCAGGCUAGCUCGAACAGCGCCUGGCUGCCCGUACUCAACCAGAAAGUGCCGGAGCCACGUCCGGGCACAUGCCACAACGACACCGCCACACUGCCGGACUCCGUGUUGAAUUUCAUACGUAAACAUCCGCUAAUGGACAAGGCGGUCGAUCAUGAAUUUGGCAAUCCGGUCUUCUUCAAGCGAGACAUAAUACUCACCAAGCUGGUGGUGGACAAGAUACGCAUCGACAAGUUGAACCAGGAGUUUCUGGUGUACUUUGUGGCCACCAGUUCGGGACAAAUCUACAAGAUUGUGCAGUUCAUGCACUAUGGCCAGCGGCACUCCAAUCUGAUUGACAUCUUCGAGGCAUCGCCGCACAACGAACCCAUCCGCGAACUGAUACUCAGCCAGAAGACGGGCUCCCUCUACCUGGCCACCGAUCAUCAGGUGAAGCAGAUAGACAUUGCCAUGUGUGCCCGCCGCUACGACAGCUGUUUCCGCUGUGUGGCCGAUCCCUACUGUGGCUGGGACCAGGAGGUGAAUGCCUGCCGCCCGUACCAGCUUGGCCUUCUGCAGGAUGUGGCCAACGAGACGUCGGGCAUUUGCGAUACGAGUGUGCUCCGCAAGCGUGUCACCUCCUCCUACGGCCAGACACUGCAUCUCUCGUGCUUCGUCAAGAUGCCAGAGGUGCUGCGAAAGAAGCAGACGCGAUGGUAUCAUCACUCCACGGAGAAGGGACGCUAUGAGGUACGCUACACGCCCACCAAAUACAUUGAAACGAACGAGGGCGGCCUCGUCCUGCUGGCGGUUAAUGAGGGCGAUGGCGGCCGCUAUGAUAGCUACUUGGAUGGCACCCUGCUCUGCAGCUACGGGGUAACCGUGGACGCGCACAGAUGCUCGCCUCCUUCGCAGAAGCAGGACUACCAGAAGAUCUACUCGCAUUGGUGCAACGAGUUCGAGAAAUACAAAUCGGCCAUGAAACAAUGGCAGGCCAAACAGGAGCAAUGCGGCCUCAAGGACAAGGCAGGUUCUGUUAGCAGCAAUGGCAAACAUGUCAACGAUGUCUUCAGCAAUGAUGCCCUGGUCUGACCCAGAAAGUACUUAUAUAGCUCCGAGUUCUUGUCAUCAUCGUCGGAGGGAGGCGUGCCGCCCGCCCACCACAUACUGUACAUUUUCGUGUUCGUGCUUGCCAUGUUUGCUCGUUUCUAAAGUUUCUAGUUAAAAUGUAAAUGUGGAGAGGAGAUGAAGCAAAACCAAACACAGUAAGCAGCGAUGGGAGAAGAUGGUGAGAUGGAAAGGCCAGGAUGGGGAAAAAAUCAUGUGACAAGAGCCGAGCAGAAACCAACUACAAAGACUGAAAUUUUUAAGCUUUUAGCAUCGACAAUAUUUCGGAUAAUUUCAAUGAGUUUUUUGAUUAUGAUCAACACCUUCGUUACGUUUGCCAUUGCGUUUUCUGUUCGUUUUGAGAUGUUGUCAGCGUCAAAUAUUUGAUUGAUUUCGACAUUAACUAACUGAUAUACAAAGAUGGAGUAAACGAUAAAAGUUACUAGCAAAAGGAUCCUGCCAUAAAUCAAAUGGAAAUUUACGGUUUUACACACAGCAUAGACACACACAAACACACACACACACAGAAUACACUCUCCGACACAGAGAAUCUCUAUAUCUAUUUCGAGCUACGGUUAAGGAU
Molecule: RNA transcript, 3590 nt
Organism: Drosophila guanche
Lineage: Eukaryota; Metazoa; Arthropoda; Insecta; Diptera; Drosophilidae
Gene name: semaphorin-2A
Exons: 16
Source: RefSeq, a predicted model, not a curated record